Molecule: long non-coding RNA, 1360 nt
Filed under: Homo sapiens (human)
Lineage: Eukaryota; Metazoa; Chordata; Mammalia; Primates; Hominidae
Description: non-protein coding LINC02232:30
Source: RNAcentral
ACCAGAAGCAGAGGCUGGCACCAUGUUUGUUAUGCAGCCUGCAGAACCAGAAAUCAUGGGAAAAACUGCCCAUUUCUGUUUUGUCCACUUUGCUUUGGGAAGUGAGAGCUAUAGUCAUUAUCACCACAUCCCCUGGCAUCCAAUUCCACAUUCUACCUCAGAAGUUAUUUGGAGGAAUCCAAGGACUUAGAUAUUUUACCAAUGUCUCUGGUGAUUUUUAUAUCGGUGGCCCAUGGGUGUUGACCUAUGAAACUGCUCUGCAGCAGAUAUUGAGAAAUAGGAGUUCAGGACAAUGAUCUCUGACCUUGCCACUAAGAGUAAAAAAAUGUGCUGAACACCUUUACUGGGAUACUAGUCACUACCAUCGAACUCCAAGUACUUCAGAUUUGGAACUCGGACUGCUUUCCUUGCUCCUCAGCCUGCAGAUGGCCUAUUGUGGGACCUUGUGAUUAUGUAGUGAGACGAGCAUGAGUGGAGCAGGAGACGGCUGUCCCCCACCCACAAGGAAUAUCAGAUGAUGGUUCAGCGAUCAUCACAUUGCCUCUCUGAAAGUGAUAAAUUGGCAGCUGGCACCAGGGAGAGGCUAUUUCCUGAUGGCCCACACCUGUUGCACUAAGAUGUUAAUCGAAUGCAGAUUCCAGGGAGAAACAACUUCCUGGGCAUGUGCGUAAGAGACAAAAUGGCAGGUAUGACCUUCUGGGGACACUCCACCAGAAAAGGGAAGAAAACCUCAGAUGGGCAUGCAUAUAACUUCCUAAACACACUGCUCACACUCUCCUCCCAAGGGUAAGGAGGGCACUGCACAUGCAGGCAGCCCAUCCUAAGGGAAGCAUCCUGGGAAAGGGGUCAGUCUAUAUGGUUCUGGGAUCAAGAUUAAACACCACAUUAGACCUUCAAGUUGCCCACUUGGGUCUCUUCUAUGUGUAUUUUUCUUUCCUUUCUUUUCUGCUCUAAAGCUUUUUUAAAUAAACAUACACAUCCCUCCUCUGAAACUUGCCUUGGUCUCUUUUUCUGCCAUAUGCAACUCAGUCAAAUUAUUUCUUCUGAGGAGGAAAAAAUUGAGGUAGCUGCAUUCCCAUACAGAUUCACCAUCGGUAACUCAGAUACCUUCUACUGGCCAUAUGUUUGGUGUUCUAUUCAAGAAAUAAUUGCUAAAGCCAAUGUCUUAAAGUGUUUUUCUUAUGUUUUUCUUCUAAGAGUUUUACAGUUUCAGGUCUUACACUUAAGUAUUUAAUUAAUUUGAGUUGAUUUUAUGCAUGGUGUAGGAUGUGUGUAAUAUUCAGUUUUUCUAACACUAUUUGUUGAAGAGACUAUUCUUUUUCCACUGUGUAUCCUUAGAAGCAUUGCUGAAGUGUUGUUG